This 468-nucleotide ribosomal RNA is filed under the name uncultured bacterium. RNAcentral describes it as "partial 16S ribosomal RNA". It matches the Rfam family "Bacterial small subunit ribosomal RNA", at positions 28 to 507 of the family's 1533-position model. The record is from RNAcentral.
GACGAACGCUGGCGGCGUGCUUAACACAUGCAAGUCGAACGGAAAGGCCCUGCUUGUGUGGGGUGCUCGAGUGGCGAACGGGUGAGUAACACGUGAGUAACCUGCCCUUGACUUUGGGAUAACUUCAGGAAACUGGGGCUAAUACCGGAUAGGAGCUCCUGCUGCAUGGUGGGGGUUGGAAAGUUUCGGCGGGUGGGGAUGGACUCGCGGCUCAUCAGCUUGUUGGUGGGGUAGUGGCUUACCAAGGCUUUGACGGGUAGCCGGCCUGAGAGGGUGACCGGCCACAUUGGGACUGAGAUACGGCCCAGACUCCUACGGGAGGCAGCAGUGGGGAAUAUUGCACAAUGGGCGGAAGCCUGAUGCAGCAACGCCGCGUGCGGGAUGACGGCCUUCGGGUUGUAAACCGCUUUCGCCUGUGACGAAGCGUGAGUGACGGUAAUGGGUAAAGAAGCACCGGCUAACUACGUG